GACUGGACAGAACCUUUACCAAAAGACUCUUCACCCAUAAUCAAAGCUCUCUUAUGGUCCUGAAGUGCGCCUGCAACAAUCUCAGAAGCAGAAGCAGACCCUCUAUUCAUUAAUACAACAAUAGGAGCACCGUUAAGAAUAUCACCAGGCUUUGUUGGGAAUGAACUAUUAGAGUAUGAAGUUCUACCUUCGGUAUAAACGACAAUACCAGGCUCAUCGAUGAACAGAUUAGAUAUAUCAAUCGAAGAAUCCAAAAGCCCACCUGGAUUAUUCCUUA
Molecule: non-coding RNA, 277 nt
Filed under: marine eukaryotic metagenome
Source: RNAcentral